CGAUCCGCAUGGGUUGGAUCUCAAAGGAGCAAUCCGGUCUGGGAGCGGGCGAUUUCGUAUCAGCUAGUUGGCAGGGUAACGGCCUACCAAGGCGACGACGCGUAGCCGGACUGAGAGGUCGGCCGGCCACAUCGGGACUGAGACACUGCCCGGACUCCUACGGGGGGCUGCAGUAACGAAUCUUCCCCAAUGCACGAAAGUGUGAGGGAGCGACGCCGCGUGGAGGAUGAAGUCCUUCGGGAUAUAAACUCCUGUCAGGGGUUACCAAGUUCUGAGGAGCCCCAGAGGAAGAGGCGGCUAACUCUGUGCCAGCAGCCGCGGUAAGACAGAGGCCUCAAGCGUUAGGCGGAAUCACUGGGCUUAAAGCGUGUGUAGGCGGGUCGUUAAGUGCCUUGUGAAAUCCCACGGCUCAACCGUGGAACUGCUGGGCAUACUGGCGAUCUUGAGCUGUCUAGGGGCGACUGGAACAAACGGUGGAGCGGUGAAAUGCGUAGAUAUCGUUUGGAACGCCAAUGGUGAAAACAGGUCGCUGGGGACAUGCUGACGCUGAGACACGAAAGCCAGGGGAGCAAACGGGAUUAGAUACCCCGGUAGUCCUGGCCCUAAACGAUGUCGACUAGAUCGUGGUGCUUUGACGGCUUCACGGUCGAAGCAAAAGUGCUAAGUCGACCGCCUGGGAAGUACGGUCGCAAGGCUAAAACUUAAAGGAAUUGACGGAAUCGA
Molecule: ribosomal RNA, 723 nt
Filed under: uncultured bacterium
Lineage: Bacteria
Description: bacterial SSU rRNA
Rfam family: Bacterial small subunit ribosomal RNA
Source: RNAcentral